GUGAGACAUAAAUGAAGGAUUAGCACCAAGAGUGCUUUUUACCUUGGAAGAUCUAAUUAGAUUAAAAAAACAUAGCCUUGACCCUUUUCAAAAUAAGUGUCAAUGAAAAGACUUACAAGCUGCUAGAGCCAGAGAUGAUUACAGGAAAAAAAAUCAUUAUGCUGAUAAUGUUGGCUUUUGAGGCUGUCCAGACAGAAGGAAAGUUAAAUGGACCGUGAAACAUACAUAGAAGAAAUUUUAAACUAUGA
Molecule: long non-coding RNA, 248 nt
Filed under: Vombatus ursinus (common wombat)
Lineage: Eukaryota; Metazoa; Chordata; Mammalia; Diprotodontia; Vombatidae
Description: lncRNA (ENSVURG00010023205.1)
Source: RNAcentral